This 442-nucleotide ribosomal RNA is filed under the name uncultured bacterium. RNAcentral's name for it is "partial 16S ribosomal RNA". It matches the Rfam family "Bacterial small subunit ribosomal RNA", at positions 339 to 795 of the family's 1533-position model. The record is from RNAcentral.
CUACGGGAGGCACCAGUGGGGAAUAUUGCACAAUGGGCGCAAGCCUGAUGCAGCAACGCCGCGUGAACGAUGAAGGCCCUUGGGUCGUAAAGUUCUGUCCUUGGGGAAGAAACAAAUGACGGUACCCAAGAAGAAAGCCCCGGCUAAUUACGUGCCAGUGAGCCGCGGUAAUACGUAAGGGGCGAGCGUUAUCCGGAAUUAUUGGGCUUAAAGAGUAUGUAGGUGGUUUUUUAAGCGCGAGGUUUAAGGCAAUGGCUCAACCAUUGUUUGCCUUGCGAACUGGAAAACUUGAGUGCAGGAGAGGAAAGCGGAAUUCCUAGUGUAGCGGUGAAAUGCGUAGAUAUUAGGAGGAACACCAGUGGCGAAGGCGGCUUUCUGGACUGUAACUGACACUGAGAUACGAAAGCGUGGGGAGCAAACAGGAUUAGAUACCCCAGUAGUC